UACGGAGGGUGCAAGCGUUAUCCGGAUUUAUUGGGUUUAAAGGGUGCGUAGGCGGCCUUUUAAGUCAGUGGUGAAAACCUGCGGCUCAACCGUAGGCGUGCCAUUGAAACUGAAGGGCUUGAGUAACCAUGAGGCAGGCGGAAUGUGUAGUGUAGCGGUGAAAUGCUUAGAUAUUACACAGAACACCGAUUGCGUAGGCAGCUUGCUAAAGGUUCACUGACGCUGAUGCACGAAAGCGUGGGGAUCGAACAGG
RNAcentral lists this ribosomal RNA (253 nucleotides) under uncultured bacterium. Its description in RNAcentral is "partial 16S ribosomal RNA". It matches the Rfam family "Bacterial small subunit ribosomal RNA", at positions 524 to 776 of the family's 1533-position model. The record is from RNAcentral.